This 2485-nucleotide long non-coding RNA is filed under the name Daphnia magna. RNAcentral describes it as "uncharacterized LOC116919863". Lineage: Eukaryota; Metazoa; Arthropoda; Branchiopoda; Diplostraca; Daphniidae. The record is from RNAcentral.
GCUAAAAUCGAAAAAAAAAAAAGAAGCUCUUGGCCUUUCCCCCCCUUUUUUUUAACGAGACAAGAGGAAACUGCAGAAUAUCUCCCGCACGCAGCCCUUAACAAGCCGCCACGGGCGCAAAGGCUACGCCGACAGAAUUUGUCACUUUGCAGCCUCCGUCUUUUUUUUUUUUACAAUCGAUACGGUUGCAUGGGCACAACGUAAGAUGGGUUUUGGAACGGUUCCCAAUAAAUGUACGACUUUCCCCUCUGUUCCAGUUGUUGCUAGCAAAAGCCAGGAGCUACACUGCCUUUCUUCGGAACUAUCCUUGACUCGUUUGAUUGUAUGAAAAAUCGAGAGCGAGGCGGACAAGAAAAACCAAGAAUGGAGUGAGAGAAAAUGACGUCUCUGACGAUGAUGAUGUUCAACAGCCAUGAAAGAAAGUAGUACCAAAACAACGUUCUCCUCUUGUCCUUGCUUUAUUGUAAUGCCAUUUUUUUUAUUUUAUUUUGCCAAAAUAAAAGAAUUUUGGGCCAAUUCCCGCAGGCUGGGAAAAGAUUUCACUUUCGGGUCCAGUCACGGAUCAAAAUUUUUUUUUUUUACAAAAUACAAAUAAGAAAAAGAUCCGAAAUAUACGCCAAUGAUUUCAAACGUUGCCGAAUAAAAUCCUUCCAUUCAGCUUCACUUCCUGCGUAAUACCCUGAACACCCUGUCCCGUUCUCGCCUGGAUUUUUGAUUUUUCCCUGGACCUUUUUUUUUUCCAAAUCACAAGCAUCGGCGAAACAUUCGCAGUUCGUGCGACUAAAACUGUACUCUGAGACAACGACCCUUUCUUUUUUUAAAUCGCCAUCCGUCGACUAAGAUGGAGAAGAGUCAACGACCCGAGUUGUUGACCAUUUUCCGCCAACACGAUGCGUUCACUAUACACACGGAGAGAUGCAAUAAGCAGGCGGGUUGCCACGUGAGAGCUGCAGCAAAUGGCGGAGCUCCCGAAAAUGGGAUCAAGUGGAUCAAAUUGCAUGUAUUCUACUCGAUCUGUCUAUCUCAUCUUGCUCUGUCGUUCUAUUUACUCGCUUUUCGUCUUUGCCCUUCUCUUCUUUCAAUUAUUACGAUGACAUUCGGUUGAUGCCCUUUCGUUGACUGAAAAACCACUAGACUUUAGCUACGCAGCAGGCAAAACGUUUUUAUAACGAAACACCACAUUUUCACUGUUAAAUUGUGCACCUGACUUGGGUGAAUGUCUCGUGUGGACUGGAUUUUGCAUGGGUGCACGAUUGCAGCAAUUCGUGUCCUCAUUGCCAAGUUUACAGAAAAUCGACGAAAUUCAUCAAGUUUAGCCCUUAGGUGGUGGACACCUGCUCACAAAGAGAGGCAGGGACUUGGGACAAUUUGUUUAGGAUAAAGAAUUCAAUAUGGAUUUUGUUUGUUUGCUUCCUUUCUUACCAGUCGCCAAGCUACAAAUUUCCUUACAAAUAUCUCAUGUUUGAAAAAUAAGCUGCAAACAUGGCCCCCGACCGAUUAUGAGACCAUCAGCAUGACGUCAUUACGUCUAUUCAUUUUUAUGGGUGGUCGUUAACCGUCCCAUUUAACGCUUGGGCAGCAAAGAUCGAGACGAUCUUUAAAACGUCAAAAACUGUUUUGUUUGUUAAAAAUUGAGGGCUUAAUAAAACAUGAAGAUUGACAAGGUAAUUCAUAUUGUUUUAUAAAAUCAACAGUAUACAUGGCAGGUGGUGAUGAUACAAAGAAAAUCAACUCUUGGAUUUGCAUUUCAAUCCUCAGGCCAUUUGCGAAUGUCGUUUCCAGUUUCCGUGAAGAAAAACAAAAAAAGGAUCAGACGAAUUUAAAAUGUUUAUCAUAUAACACGAUAGCGGGAAAAGAGAGAAGAGAAUGAAAGAAGAAACAAAACGAAUCCGCCCAUAUAAAAAUGCGAUAUCAUCACGAUGGCCGGAAGAUAACAGGAGACAAGAAAACGGGAAAACAAAUCAAAUUAAAUCGAAUGAAAAUGUGGGAGAUCGCGAAGUCAAAACUUGUCGUGAGUUAUAUGCAAACUCAACCGUUCCAUUUUUCUUUCCACCCCCCGCCUUUCGUUAUUGUACACACAAGGGGCACACACAUGAGAGCAUAAAAACAUUAUAUCUUUUAUCAAUAUAAUUUGUAAGUAUGUUCGAUACGAUGUGUACAGGAUUAUAGAUUGUAAUUAUUGAAGAAAAUAAAAACAAAAACAUGAUUCGAUAGUGAGGAUGCGCACCGGGCACAUCCAUUUAAAGAGUCGGGCCGAAAAAAAAAGAAACCCCUAGAAAAAGGUGUAAAAUUUUUUUUGUUUUAAUUCUAGUCUAGCACGGAAAAUUCUGUUUCAGUCUCCAAUAGAAAAUUGAAUUGAUGUGAAAAAAAAAAAAAAUAGAGACUCGAAUGAAACAAAUGAACAUUCGACCCAACGUGAAUUAUCGCUAUUUGUUUUCUCAAUGAACAAGCGAAAAUCAUUCGAGUUUUCAGUUAUUCGUUUUGU